This 2917-nucleotide ribosomal RNA is filed under the name Enterococcus faecium. RNAcentral describes it as "bacterial LSU rRNA". It matches the Rfam family "Bacterial large subunit ribosomal RNA". The record is from RNAcentral. Lineage: Bacteria; Bacillati; Bacillota; Bacilli; Lactobacillales; Enterococcaceae.
AGGUUAAGUGAAUAAGGGCGCACGGUGGAUGCCUUGGCACUAGGAGCCGAUGAAGGACGGGACUAACACCGAUAUGCUUUGGGGAGCUGUACGUAAGCUAUGAUCCAGAGAUUUCCGAAUGGGGGAACCCAACAUCUUUAAUAGGAUGUUACGAUUGUGUGAAUACAUAGCACAUUCGAGGUAGACGCAGAGAACUGAAACAUCUAAGUACCUGCAGGAAGAGAAAGAAAAUUCGAUUCCCUGAGUAGCGGCGAGCGAAACGGGAAAAGCCCAAACCAGCAAGCUUGCUUGUUGGGGUUGUAGGACUCCAAUAUGGUMGUUCUUUCAGAUAGUCGAAUGACUUGGAAAAGUCAGUCAAAGAGGGUAAAAACCCCGUAGACGAAAUGUGGAAGACACCUAGGAGGAUCCUGAGUACGGCGGAACACGAGAAAUUCCGUCGGAAUCCGGGAGGACCAUCUCCCAAGGCUAAAUACUCCCUAGUGACCGAUAGUGAACCAGUACCGUGAGGGAAAGGUGAAAAGCACCCCGGAAGGGGAGUGAAAUAGAACCUGAAACCGUGUGCCUACAACAAGUCAAAGCCCGUUAAUGGGUGAUGGCGUGCCUUUUGUAGAAUGAACCGGCGAGUUACGAUUGCAUGCGAGGUUAAGUUGAAGAGACGGAGCCGCAGCGAAAGCGAGUCUGAAUAGGGCGUUUGAGUAUGUAGUCGUAGACCCGAAACCAUGUGAUCUACCCAUGUCCAGGUUGAAGGUGCGGUAAAACGCACUGGAGGACCGAACCCACGUACGUUGAAAAGUGCGGGGAUGAGGUGUGGGUAGCGGAGAAAUUCCAAACGAACUUGGAGAUAGCUGGUUCUCUCCGAAAUAGCUUUAGGGCUAGCCUCGGAAUUGAGAAUGAUGGAGGUAGAGCACUGUUUGGACUAGGGGCCCAUCUCGGGUUACCGAAUUCAGAUAAACUCCGAAUGCCAUUCAUUCAUAUCCGGGAGUCAGACUGUGAGUGAUAAGAUCCAUAGUCGAAAGGGAAACAGCCCAGACCACCAGCUAAGGUCCCAAAAUAUAUGUUAAGUGGAAAAGGAUGUGGGGUUGCACAGACAACUAGGAUGUUGGCUUAGAAGCAGCCAYCAUUUAAAGAGUGCGUAAUAGCUCACUAGUCGAGUGACCCUGCGCCGAAAAUGUACCGGGGCUAAACAUAUUACCGAAGCUGUGGAGUACACCUUUAGGUGUAUUGGUAGGAGAGCGUUCUAAGGGCGUCGAAGGCAGAUCGUGAGGACUGCUGGAGCGCUUAGAAGUGAGAAUGCCGGUAUGAGUAGCGAAAGACAGGUGAGAAUCCUGUCCACCGAAUGACUAAGGUUUCCUGGGGAAGGCUCGUCCGCCCAGGGUUAGUCGGGACCUAAGCCGAGGCCGACAGGCGUAGGCGAUGGAUAACAGGUUGAUAUUCCUGUACCCGUUGUUUUUGUUUGAGCAAUGGAGGGACGCAGGAGGCUAAGGAAUGCAGACGAUCGGAAAUGUCUGUCCAAGCAGUAAGUCUGAAGAGGAGUCAAAUGCUUCUUUUCUUAAGGACAAGCUGUGAUGGGGAGGGAAAUAAUAGUACCGAAGUUCCUGAUGUCACACUGCCGAGAAAAGCUUCUAGUGAGAAAACAGCGGCCCGUACCGCAAACCGACACAGGUAGUCGAGGAGAGAAUCCUAAGGUGAGCGAGAGAACUCUCGUUAAGGAACUCGGCAAAAUGACCCCGUAACUUCGGGAGAAGGGGUGCUGAUCAUACGAUCAGCCGCAGUGAAUAGGCCCAAGCGACUGUUUAUCAAAAACACAGGUCUCUGCAAAAUCGUAAGAUGAAGUAUAGGGGCUGACGCCUGCCCGGUGCUGGAAGGUUAAGAGGAGUGCUUAGCGCAAGCGAAGGUACGAAUUGAAGCCCCAGUAAACGGCGGCCGUAACUAUAACGGUCCUAAGGUAGCGAAAUUCCUUGUCGGGUAAGUUCCGACCCGCACGAAAGGCGUAACGAUUUGGGCACUGUCUCAACGAGAGACUCGGUGAAAUUUUAGUACCUGUGAAGAUGCAGGUUACCCGCGACAGGACGGAAAGACCCCAUGGAGCUUUACUGUAGUUUGAUAUUGAGUGUCUGUACCGCAUGUACAGGAUAGGUAGGAGCCGUAGAAAUCGGAACGCUAGUUUCGAUGGAGGCGCUGGUGGGAUACUACCCCUGCGUUAUGGCCACUCUAACCCGCACCACUAAUCGUGGUGGGAGACAGUGUCAGAUGGGCAGUUUGACUGGGGCGGUCGCCUCCUAAAAGGUAACGGAGGCGCCCAAAGGUUCCCUCAGAAUGGUUGGAAAUCAUUCGAAGAGUGUAAAGGCAGAAGGGAGCUUGACUGCGAGACCAACAAGUCGAGCAGGGACGAAAGUCGGGCUUAGUGAUCCGGUGGUUCCGCAUGGAAGGGCCAUCGCUCAACGGAUAAAAGCUACCCUGGGGAUAACAGGCUUAUCUCCCCCAAGAGUCCACAUCGACGGGGAGGUUUGGCACCUCGAUGUCGGCUCGUCGCAUCCUGGGGCUGUAGUCGGUCCCAAGGGUUGGGCUGUUCGCCCAUUAAAGCGGCACGCGAGCUGGGUUCAGAACGUCGUGAGACAGUUCGGUCCCUAUCCGUCGCGGGCGUUGGAAAUUUGAGAGGAGCUGUCCUUAGUACGAGAGGACCGGGAUGGACUUACCGCUGGUGUACCAGUUGUUCUGCCAAGGGCAUUGCUGGGUAGCUAUGUAGGGAAGGGAUAAACGCUGAAAGCAUCUAAGUGUGAAGCCCACCUCAAGAUGAGAUUUCCCAUUUCUUUAAGAAAGUAAGAUCCCUGAGAGAUGAUCAGGUAGAUAGGUCAGGAGUGGAAGUACAGUGAUGUAUGGAGCGGACUGAUACUAAUCGAUCGAGGACUUAACCAAU